RNAcentral lists this transfer RNA (74 nucleotides) under Patescibacteria group bacterium. RNAcentral describes it as "tRNA-Asp". It matches the Rfam family "tRNA". From Rfam's summary of the family: Transfer RNA (tRNA) molecules are approximately 80 nucleotides in length. The record is from RNAcentral.
GCGGUCAUAGCUCAAUUGGCUAGAGCACUCCCCUGUCACGGGAGAGGUUGCGGGUUCGAGCCCCGUUGACCGCG